Molecule: non-coding RNA, 68 nt
Organism: Phrynosoma platyrhinos (Desert horned lizard)
Lineage: Eukaryota; Metazoa; Chordata; Lepidosauria; Squamata; Phrynosomatidae
Source: the annotation of a GenBank genome assembly
GCCCUGGCGUAGCGGUUUGAGUAUUGGACUAUGACUCUGGAGUCCACGGUUCAAUUCCCUGCUCGGCU